This is a long non-coding RNA of Quercus lobata, 2574 nucleotides long. RefSeq lists it as uncharacterized. Lineage: Eukaryota; Viridiplantae; Streptophyta; Magnoliopsida; Fagales; Fagaceae. The record is from RefSeq and is a predicted model, not a curated record. The transcript has 9 exons.
CUUUUCAAUGGAACCAAAUCUCCUUUCUUUAUCAAAGCCUAAAAGAUCCGUAUUAGCUAAUAUGGGUAUUAACCAUUCUUUAUCAAAACUCUGAGUUACUCCCUCUUAUCUUCUUCUCUCUACACAUGAUUUUUUUUUUUCCUUCUCUCUUCUUCCUCCCAAAUCACCUAUCUGUCCUGUGAUUUGAACUCCUUCACACCCCAGCCUCAAUAUCGAUCAAAGAAAGAUUUGGAACUCAAGAACAUUUGCCUCCGAUUUGCAUGAGAGAUUAAAAAAAAAAAAAAAAAAAAGGGAGCUCAAGAGCUCAAACGCUAUUUGUGAUCUCUGUGGGUUGGUGGAUGUGCUAAAGAUAGACGGUUGCAGUUUUGAAACUGUGUUCUAUUUAUUUUUUUUGGUUUCUGGUACUACAAAAUCAUGGUUGCUGUGAAAAUUGGGUUUUUUACUCAGAUGGGUCAGAAUAUUUGGUGCCAUAUUUAGAUUAUAUGAAUGAAAGUUUGGAUAUUUUUAGUCUGAUUGGUUGAAUUUGUGUUGUGUUUGCUAUCUGUAGGUGUUCUUCUUUGCAAUUAUCUUUGCACGUGAGAUUGAAAGUUUGGAUUUUUACUCAGAUUAGAUAAUUUUUGUGUGUUAAUAUUUGCUAUUAGGUGUUCUUUUGUCAUAUCAUGUAUGUAAUUAUGUAUGUAUGUAGAUGAAUGAAAGUUUGGGUUUUUUUUAUUUUUUAUUUUUUUACUAAUAUCCUAUGAAUUUUGUGUAUGCAGGUGUUCUUUCUGUGGAGUAGGAUUAGAAUGCCUUUUUGGUUGUUGGAGGUAAGGAGGUUAGAGGCUCUAUCUUUGAUUUGAAGGGGCCCUGUGGUUUACCCCGAGCCUUGGUGAGUCGGGGUAUUGGCUAAAAAUCCACUGAGGUCCUUGAGAUGGCACGAGGAUUGUUCUUGAGAAGUUCGAUGUUUUAAGGGAUUGAAGACCAACAUUACCAAAGAGCUCAAUGCCAGGCACAAAAGUUUUCUAUGGCUCCCACUAAAGGAUAGCAGUUUUCUAUGGCUCCCACUAAAGGAUAUGUCACUUUUGUUAGAUAAAGCUAGCGAUUAUGGACUGUGGCUAUGAUUUGUUGAGCUUCUCUGAGUUGUGAAACUGAAGCUCUCUCUCUUUCCAAAGAGUACCGAUCACACAUGCAGCAGAACAACAUCCUGAUGAGGUCAGAUUUUCAAGGUUCGAGGACAUGAAAGCAAAUGUCCAUAAGCGAGGUAGCUCCAUGGCACCACAGUCCGUGUUCGAAGACUGAACGAGGCCUGAGAAGAUCGUCCGUGUUUGAAGAACAACGCCUCAUCGAAGCUCUGAACCAGGCCGGAAUCUUCACCGGCGAGUGUAGCUCUCUGUCACCGUGUCCAUACUUCUCUCUCCCUUUCCCAGUUUUGGGGUGGCUUUGCUUCAGUGUUCGGCUUGGUUUCAACACAGUUUCUUGAGGGCUUCAGUGGUAUUUUUAGGAACUGUUGCAGCCCCUGCACUGGUGUGGAGAAGAGAGACACAGAGAGAGAGAGAACGCGGGCAUUUGAUGAAGAGCUUCUAUUAUAGCAUAUGACAACAUUAAUUGCGAAAAAUUAAAUAUUUUUACAAUGUUGUAGCAAAACUUGGUUGGUUAUUGUUGAAGGAUGAUAUUUGUAACUUGUAAGCAUUCUUAGAAGUUUUUAUUGAAUGGAUAUUGCUUUUAACAAAUAUGUUCUAAAAGACUAUCAUAGUAUAAUAGAUAUUCUUAUUUGAAUGUAUAAUCUAAAUUUGUGUAAUUAAAAUUCUUAUCUGAAUGAGAUUAGCAUUAUAUAACAUACAUUUUUUUUCGUACAUAGUUUCAUAUUUCUUUAAAUAAAAACUCUAUAUUGAUUUUCUUUCUCAAGUCAAGGGGCAGGGCAGCACGUGCCUUGCACGUGCCACCCAACUUAGUAAUUUUUUAAAACCCUAGAGCAUGAUAAUACGGAAAUACCCCUCCCCUAUUUUAUUCUUCCCUUUUCUUUUCUUCAGUUCAGCCGCCCCCUUCCCCAACUUAUUCUCUCAAUUUUUUCUGUCUUUUUUCUUGGAAUCAUUGGUGCGAUUCACACACACACACAGAGCAAAAUGGAAGAAGAAGAUUUCUCAAGCUUUCUUCACUCAAAUUCUUCAGUCUCUCUGAUCUCUCUCUCUCCGAGUUUCUUCUCUUCGCUUCAGAUCGAUGAAGACCAACUGUAACAGAUCUCUACUUCCCUGAACUUUCUUAUAUCUCAGAUUCUUGUAUAAUCGGGUGAUCUGUUGGAAUCAUCGGUGCGAUUCACACACACACAGAGCAAAAUGGAAGAAGGAGCUUUCUUAAGCUUUCUUCACUCAAAUUCUUCAGUCUCUCUGAUCUCUCUCUCUCUCUCUUCGAGUUUCUUCUCUUUGCUUCAGAUCGAUGAAGACCAACUGUAACAGAUCUCUACUUCCCUAAUCUUUCGUAUAUCUCAGAUUCUUAUAUAAUCGGUGAGUGUUUUUUACACUUUAGGCUGUCUUUGUUUUGUUUCGUUUAUACUGUGAUUUUUUUUUUUCAAGCGAACAGUGAUUUUGCUUUAGGGUGAUC